Molecule: microRNA, 21 nt
Filed under: human gammaherpesvirus 4 (Epstein-Barr virus)
Lineage: Duplodnaviria; Heunggongvirae; Peploviricota; Herviviricetes; Herpesvirales; Orthoherpesviridae
Description: ebv-miR-BART19-3p
Gene: ebv-miR-BART19-3p
Source: miRBase by way of RNAcentral
UUUUGUUUGCUUGGGAAUGCU